Molecule: non-coding RNA, 871 nt
Organism: Malus domestica (apple)
Lineage: Eukaryota; Viridiplantae; Streptophyta; Magnoliopsida; Rosales; Rosaceae
Source: RefSeq, a predicted model, not a curated record
GAAUACAAAUCAAAGUUCAAACCCUCGGAGAACUCAGUCCCUGUCUCUCUCUGUCUCUCGAGUCUCGGCUCGAUCUCACCUCACCUCAGACAACCUCACCGUCACCACCCUCCUCGCCGAUUUCUCUUUCCUUCUUCGAUUCCGGCCACACCCACAUCACAAGUGACUCACCUCUCUGAGCUCUCUCUCAAAUCAGGCAUAUGGAGACUCCUCAUUCCAGGAUUGUAAGCGAGCAUCUGAAGCAGCUGUGACCAUAAUUAUCAAGAAUUUGCAGGUUUAUCCUUUUUUAUUUCUCUUUCUUUCCAUUUUAUAAUAUGGCGAGACUGGUUUUUCUCUCUACCCAUUCCUAACAAGAAACAAGUAGAUGUCUUAUCCUUACUUCCCUUGCAACGUUUCUCUGGGGGGUUCUUGUUAAGUUUCUGCAGUCGAGGUAGUGAUUUUUAGUUGGAUGGUGUCAUAGUUGUUAGUUUAUAUGUUUAGGGGCAUAUAAUAUAUAACUCCAUUUGCUUUAAUACAUGGAUAGGUGUUAUGCAGUUUUUGGUGGAAGUAUUGGCAUCAAUAUUGGUAAAGAAUUAUGCAGUAUGUUAGGAUUGUGCCUAUAUCUUGGACACAGGAUUAGUUUUAAGAUGUAAAAUUCAGGUACUGCCGUGUAAUCUCUUUUAAUGAAGGCCACUGCUUGAAACGUGUGGGAAACAUUCCCUUGGAUGAAUACAAUGUUUCAAUAAUAUGAUGCAUGUGUCGUCCUAAAAUAAGCUCUCCGAGCUCUUGGGAUUUUUGUGAGUCAUGUCAGUGAGAUGUUCAUGCCCAUGAGUAAGCUGUAUCCUAUUAGAUGAAGUAAAAUUUAUGAAUCAAGGCAUGUCAUUUUUCACUA